This 1466-nucleotide ribosomal RNA is filed under the name Lactobacillus sp. P23. RNAcentral's name for it is "16S ribosomal RNA". It matches the Rfam family "Bacterial small subunit ribosomal RNA". The record is from RNAcentral. Lineage: Bacteria; Bacillati; Bacillota; Bacilli; Lactobacillales; Lactobacillaceae.
ACGCUGGCGGCGUGCCUAUACAUGCAAGUCGAACGAACUCUGGUAUUGAUUGGUGCUUGCAUCAUGAUUUACAUUUGAGUGAGUGGCGAACUGGUGAGUAACACGUGGGAAACCUGCCCAGAAGCGGGGGAUAACACCUGGAAACAGAUGCUAAUACCGCAUAACAACUUGGACCGCAUGGUCCGAGYUUGAAAGAUGGCUUCGGCUAUCACUUUUGGAUGGUCCCGCGGCGUAUUAGCUAGAUGGUGNGGUAACGGCUCACCAUGGCAAUGAUACGUAGCCGACCUGAGAGGGUAAUCGGCCACAUUGGGACUGAGACACGGCCCAAACUCCUACGGGAGGCAGCAGUAGGGAAUCUUCCACAAUGGACGAAAGUCUGAUGGAGCAACGCCGCGUGAGUGAAGAAGGGUUUCGGCUCGUAAAACUCUGUUGUUAAAGAAGAACAUAUCUGAGAGUAACUGUUCAGGUAUUGACGGUAUUUAACCAGAAAGCCACGGCUAACUACGUGCCAGCAGCCGCGGUAAUACGUAGGUGGCAAGCGUUGUCCGGAUUUAUUGGGCGUAAAGCGAGCGCAGGCGGUUUUUUAAGUCUGAUGUGAAAGCCUUCGGCUCAACCGAAGAAGUGCAUCGGAAACUGGGAAACUUGAGUGCAGAAGAGGACAGUGGAACUCCAUGUGUAGCGGUGAAAUGCGUAGAUAUAUGGAAGAACACCAGUGGCGAAGGCGGCUGUCUGGUCUGUAACUGACGCUGAGGCUCGAAAGUAUGGGUAGCAAACAGGAUUAGAUACCCUGGUAGUCCAUACCGUAAACGAUGAAUGCUAAGUGUUGGAGGGUUUCCGCCCUUCAGUGCUGCAGCUAACGCAUUAAGCAUUCCGCCUGGGGAGUACGGCCGCAAGGCUGAAACUCAAAGGAAUUGACGGGGGCCCGCACAAGCGGUGGAGCAUGUGGUUUAAUUCGAAGCUACGCGAAGAACCUUACCAGGUCUUGACAUACUAUGCAAAUCUAAGAGAUUAGACGUUCCCUUCGGGGACAUGGAUACAGGUGGUGCAUGGUUGUCGUCAGCUCGUGUCGUGAGAUGUUGGGUUAAGUCCCGCAACGAGCGCAACCCUUAUUAUCAGUUGCCAGCAUUAAGUUGGGCACUCUGGUGAGACUGCCGGUGACAAACCGGAGGAAGGUGGGGAUGACGUCAAAUCAUCAUGCCCCUUAUGACCUGGGCUACACACGUGCUACAAUGGAUGGUACAACGAGUUGCGAACUCGCGAGAGUAAGCUAAUCUCUUAAAGCCAUUCUCAGUUCGGAUUGUAGGCUGCAACUCGCCUACAUGAAGUCGGAAUCGCUAGUAAUCGCGGAUCAGCAUGCCGCGGUGAAUACGUUCCCGGGCCUUGUACACACCGCCCGUCACACCAUGAGAGUUUGUAACACCCAAAGUCGGUGGGGUAACCUUUUAGGAACCAGCCGCCUAAGGUGG